ACAGCAGCAGCCGCGGUAAUACGAGGGGUGCAAGCGUUAUUCGGAUUGAUUGGGUGUAAAGGGUGUGCGGACGGCUUAUUAAGUCACUUGUUAAAUUCUUCGGCCUAACUGAAGGUCUGCAAGUGAUACUGAUGAGCUAGAGGGUGGAAGAGAGAAGUGGAACUCUCGGAGUAGCGGUAAAAUGCGUAGAUCUCGAGAGGAACACCAAUGGCGAAGGCAGCUUCUUGGUCCAUUCCUGACGUUCAUACACGAAAGCGUGGGGAGCAAACAGGAUUAGAGACCCCGGUAGUCCCUGUCUCUUAUAC
RNAcentral lists this ribosomal RNA (305 nucleotides) under uncultured bacterium. RNAcentral's name for it is "partial 16S ribosomal RNA". It matches the Rfam family "Bacterial small subunit ribosomal RNA", at positions 505 to 807 of the family's 1533-position model. The record is from RNAcentral.